This 252-nucleotide ribosomal RNA is filed under the name uncultured bacterium. RNAcentral describes it as "partial 16S ribosomal RNA". It matches the Rfam family "Bacterial small subunit ribosomal RNA", at positions 525 to 776 of the family's 1533-position model. The record is from RNAcentral.
ACGGAGGGAGCUAGCGUUGUUCGGAAUUACUGGGCGUAAAGCGCGCGUAGGCGGCGAACCAAGUCAGAGGUGAAAUCCCGGGGCUCAACCCUGGAACUGCCUUUGAAACUGGUUUGCUAGAAUCUUGGAGAGGCGAGUGGAAUUCCGAGUGUAGAGGUGAAAUUCGUAGAUAUUCGGAAGAACACCAGUGGCGAAGGCGACUCGCUGGACAAGUAUUGACGCUGAGGUGCGAAAGCGUGGGGAGCAAACAGG